This 425-nucleotide ribosomal RNA is filed under the name uncultured bacterium. Its description in RNAcentral is "bacterial SSU rRNA". It matches the Rfam family "Bacterial small subunit ribosomal RNA", at positions 354 to 796 of the family's 1533-position model. The record is from RNAcentral.
GUGGGGAAUAUUGCACAAUGGGGGAAACCCUGAUGCAGCGACGCCGCGUGGAGGAAGAAGGUCUUCGGAUUGUAAACUCCUGUUGUUGAGGAAGAUAAUGACGGUACUCAACAAGGAAGUGACGGCUAACUACGUGCCAGCAGCCGCGGUAAAACGUAGGUCACAAGCGUUGUCCGGAAUUACUGGGUGUAAAGGGAGCGCAGGCGGGAAGACAAGUUGGAAGUGAAAUCCAUGGGCUCAACCCAUGAACUGCUUUCAAAACUGUUUUUCUUGAGUAGUGCAGAGGUAGGCGGAAUUCCCGGUGUAGCGGUGGAAUGCGUAGAUAUCGGGAGGAACACCAGUGGCGAAGGCGGCCUACUGGGCACCAACUGACGCUGAGGCUCGAAAGUGUGGGUAGCAAACAGGAUUAGAAACCCCUGUAGUCC